Molecule: ribosomal RNA, 497 nt
Filed under: uncultured bacterium
Lineage: Bacteria
Description: partial 16S ribosomal RNA
Rfam family: Bacterial small subunit ribosomal RNA
Source: RNAcentral
GAUGAACGCUGGCGGCGUGCCUAAUACAUGCAAGUCGAGCGAACAGACGAGGAGCUUGCUCCUUUGACGUUAGCGGCGGACGGGUGAGUAACACGUGGGUAACCUACCUAUAAGACUGGGAUAACUUCGGGAAACCGGAGCUAAUACCGGAUAAUAUUUCGAACCGCAUGGUUCGAUAGUGAAAGAUGGCUUUGCUAUCACUUAUAGAUGGACCUGCGCCGUAUUAGCUAGUUGGUAAGGUAACGGCUUACCAAGGCAACGAUACGUAGCCGACCUGAGAGGGUGAUCGGCCACACUGGAACUGAGACACGGUCCAGACUCCUACGGGAGGCAGCAGUAGGGAAUCUUCCGCAAUGGGCGAAAGCCUGACGGAGCAACGCCGCGUGAGUGAUGAAGGUCUUCGGAUCGUAAAACUCUGUUAUUAGGGAAGAACAAAUGUGUAAGUAACUGUGCACGUCUUGACGGUACCUAAUCAGAAAGCCACGGCUAACUACGUG